GAAUGUGGCUGCAACACGUUCACCUUCGUCUGAUACUCGCACGAGGGCACGCAGCAACGCGAGCGACAUUCAUCCAGUGAAUGUGGCUGCAACACGUUCACCUUCGUCUGAUACUCGCACGAGGACACGCAGCAAUGCAACUGGGAACAAAAAAGAGAAUGUGUCUGCAUCACCUUUACCUUUACCAUCACCUGCUACUCACACGCCGUACUGUAGGUCUCUUUCAGUUCUCAAAGCAACUGAGACUACUGUGUGUUCAGUUAAAUAGGAACUGUUUUGAGCAAUGGCAU
This is a long non-coding RNA of Tachysurus vachellii, 290 nucleotides long. RefSeq lists it as uncharacterized. The record is from RefSeq and is a predicted model, not a curated record. The transcript is spliced from 3 exons. NCBI's taxonomy places the organism in Eukaryota, Metazoa, Chordata, Actinopteri, Siluriformes, Bagridae.